CACUCUUGUCGCCCAGGCUGGAGUGCAAUGGUGCAAUCUCAGCUCACUGCAACCUCUGUCUCCCAGGUUCAAGCAAUACUGCUGCCUCAACCUCCCGAGUAGCUGGGAUUACAGCGUGUUAUGAUGCCGUCCCAUACCAACCUGGCUACUGGAAUCCCCAGUAGUAAAGUGAAAUAUUCAAGGCUCUCCAGCACAGACGAUGGCUACAUUGACCUUCAGUUUAAGAAAACCCCUCUAAGAUCCCUUAUAAGGCCAUCUCACUUGCCACUGUGCUGUUUUUGAUUGGCACCUUUCUCAUUAUUAUAGGCUCCCUCAUGCUGUCAGGCUACAUCAGCAAAGGCGGGGCAGACCGGGCCGUUCCAGUCCUGAUCAUUGGCAUUCUGGUAUUCCUACCCGUAUUUUACCACCUGCGCAUCCCUUACUAUGCAUCCAAAGGCUACCGUGGUUACUCCUAUGAUGACAUUCCAGACUUUGAUGACUAGCACCCACCCCAUAGCUGAGGAGAAGAGUCACAGUGGAACUGUCCCAGCUUUAAGAUAUCUAGCAGAAACUAUAGCUGAGGACUAAGGAAUUCUGCAGCUUGCAGAUGUUUAAGAAAAUAAUAGCCAGAUUUUUUGGGUCCUUCCCAAAGAUGUUAAGUGAACCUACAGUUAGCUAAUUAGGACAUGCUCUGUUUUUCAUCCCUUGGCCCUGACAAGUUUUUCCGCAGGAAUAUGUAUCAUGGUAGAAUAGAGGUUAUUCUGUAAUGGAAAAGUGUUGCCUGCCACCACCCUCUGCAGAGCUGAGCAUUUCUUUUAAAUAGUCUUCAUUGCCAAUUUGUUCUUGUAGCAAAUGGAAGAAUGUAGUAUGGCUAAUUUCUUAUUAUUAAGUAAUUUAUUUUAAAAAUAUCAGAGUAUAUUAUCCUGUACACUUAUCUCUACCUUCAUGUUCCAGUGGAAGACCUUAGUAAAAUCAAAGAUCAGUGAGUUCAUCUGUAAUAUUUUUUUACUUGCUUUCUUACUGACAGCAACCAGGAAUUUUUUUAUCCUGCAGAGCAAGUUUUCAAAAUGUAAAUACUUUCUGUGUUUAACAGCCCUUGGCCCAUUCUGAUCCAGUUCACCAGUAGGUUGGACAGCAUAUAAUUUGCAUCAUUUUGUCCCUUGUAAAUCAAGAUGUUCUGCAGAUUAUUCCUUUAACGGCCGGACUUUUGGCUAUUUCCUAAUGAAACAUGUACAUUAGUGGUUAUUAUUUAGAGUUUAUAGCCCUAUUGCUAGCACCUUGUAGUAUGUCAUCAUUCUGCUCAUGAUUCCAAGGAUCAGCCUGGAUGCCUAGAGGACUAGAUCGCCUUAGUUUGAUUCUAUUUUUUAGCUUGCAAAAAGUGACUUAUAUUCCAAAGAAAUUAAAAUGUUGAAAUCCAAAUCCUAGAAAUAAAAUGAGUUAACUUCAAA
This 1427-nucleotide long non-coding RNA is filed under the name Homo sapiens (human). RNAcentral describes it as "long non-coding RNA NONHSAT159123.1". The record is from RNAcentral. Lineage: Eukaryota; Metazoa; Chordata; Mammalia; Primates; Hominidae.